UUAGAAAGUUUAUGUUUUUUGCUUCGACUCCCAAACGGUUUAUUUUCCAAGGCUACAUUAUUUCUAAGGCAGGGUUGGGGGAAUAAAGUGUUUUGGUUUUGACCAUGACUGCAUUGAUUCUGGCCAGUGUCCUUACGAGUUAUGUGUGGCUCCAAGACCUUUAGAAGUAAACUCAGGAACCAGAUGUGAUGGUAGAGGAUAGAGAGGCAGAAAGACAGGGGUUGUAUGUUUGAGAACAGUCUGGACUUCGCAGGCAGACCCUCCAUCUCAGCAUGUGUGAGCACUACAGCAGUUAUUUAUUUUAGGGUUGGUUUUCUGGUUUGGGUUUUGGGUUUGGUUUGGUUUGGUUUGGUUUGGUUUGGUUUGGUCUGGUCUGGUCUGGUCUGGUCUGGUCUGGUCUGGUUUGAUCUGGCUUGGUUUGGUUUGGUUUUGGAGACAGAAUCUCACAAUGUAGCCUAGGCUGAAUUCAAAUCUGUGAACCUCCUGCUUCAGCCUCCCCAGUGCUUAGAUAACAAUCACCACUCCCACAAUCUUUGCUAAUACUUGUUUUGGUAACCUGGGUAGGAAGGACAUUCAUGUGAGAGUCCCGGGUUAUGUCUCUUUCUUUACUUCUAUUCUCUAUUAGCUACCCAGCAUUCCUACACUCAAUCAGAAGGCACAUGAUUGCCGAAUUGGUUAUAUACACAGCCCAGACGUUGUGCACAGCCCUACCUUCUGAGUAGGUCCUAGGGUUCCCAGUCCACAUCACUUAGCCUAGCCCGGACUCUUGUCCUCAAGACUAGAGAACUCUGACAAUGGCUUUGGAUUCUAGAAGUACUUGUAAACAGAAUCCACUCGGGCACCCUCCCACGUAACACCGUUUAAGCCUCUUCUACACCAACCCGACACCUGAUACAAUCAAUGCAAAGCCGUUAGCUAGAAUUGAGGAAAUCUGACCCUUGAUAUUUGAAAAUGACCCUGUUUGUAUUCUGAAUCCCUUGAAGUCUUUUCAAUAAAGAAGGGUAUUUGACUGUUCUCGAGCUGCCACUGCUUAUAGAAGCAACUGCAUCGUAUUAUCCGUUCCGUCUACAGACCUGCCAAGAACGAUGGGUUGGAGGACAGAGCCACUUAUUUGAUUCUGAGAAUAUGUUUAUUCUGUGAACACUAAUGGAAAAAAAAAUAGCAAAACUACCACAUGUCACCUCUCAGACUGAGGUGACCCUGCUGACUAGAAAGCAGAUGCGCAUUGCGUUGCUGGCUUCUUGUAACAGCUACAAGCAUCGAAACAUCUUAAUGAAUUCAAAGUCUGGAGCUGUUCCCUGUCUGUCUGUCGGUGAUUCUUAUUUAAAUAGCAAACCCUGUUUAAUUGGCUCCAAAGGUAAUCAGGCUAGACACAUUUGGGGUGCUAACCGACAAAGGAGAGGCAAAUAAAUUACAAAGAAAAAAUCUGAAUUUCUCUAGAUCCCAAUAAAAGUAAGAAAAAAUUUCAUUCUGCUGUGUGUACAUGCUUUAAAACGUAUCUUUCACUCGAAACCAUAUGCUGGGGGAAUUACUUUUAUAUCUGGGGAUGAACCUGAACCCAACAUUGGUAUUUUCUUUCCAAAUCUUAGUAGUCCUUCAAAAUGGCUAACGAAAAAACAACAACAAACAAACAAACAAACAAACAAAAAGAAUGACUAAACUGAGGUGGAAUUCAACAUUUCAGCCUGAAUAUUCAGCCCAGCCAAAUCUUCAGGCUCUGAAUUAAUAAACUCAUUCCGUCUGACUUGAUUUUAGGGUCACAUUGAGCCAAAACCAACUUCCGGGGCUUGGGAGCCUUGCUUUGAACAGAAGGCUGUUUGCUUGUUCCCAGUGGGAAUACAUUAUGCUGAGUGAUGGCUUCCUGUUUGUCCUGGAGGGGCCUCCCUGGCCUGAAAGAAGUCACAAUUUGGGUCAGCUCUCUCUGCAGGGGCCAUUCCUGACAGCUUUCUUGGGAUAAAUGAGAUCUGAAACAUCGGGCUUUCAGUAUAUGAAAAGGUCUUGGCACAAAGCCCCCGUCUCUCUACAGAGGGCUCUGACUUUGAAAAUGCCCUGCAUGCUGCAGUUUUUCCCCAGCCCACAGGGACUCCUGCUGGGGCAUCUUGCUAGGAGGUCCACGUGCUCCCGUGCUCCCCACGUGGAUAGAUUAGAUGUCUGUGGGAGGACUGCCCAGAAACUGUUGCACCUUCUGAAAUGACAAUGCAAGGUGCCGAAGGGUAAAAAUAGCCCUGGAUCAACACAUGAGUCAAUGGCUGUAUUUAACCAAUCUUCUGUUAGGGAACAAAAAAGCCUUAAAAUGCCACCAUGCUGAAAAUAACGGGCAAUUAAAGCACACCGAACCGAACCCAUGAUAUGACUUGUGGCAGCCAAGUGUUCUCCAGAAGCCUCCUUCUUGGAGAGCUAAUUGCACGGGGUUUCCAGUCUUUAGCUUCCCCCUCAGGUUUCCUACUGAGCCCUUUACUCUUUUAUAUUUGAGAAGCAUAGAUUCACCCAGGCACCCAGGGCAAUACUAUUACUGCCUGUCAUUUCUGAUCAUUU
Molecule: long non-coding RNA, 2535 nt
Filed under: Mus musculus (house mouse)
Lineage: Eukaryota; Metazoa; Chordata; Mammalia; Rodentia; Muridae
Description: long non-coding RNA chr19:22552661-22555196
Source: RNAcentral